RNAcentral lists this ribosomal RNA (257 nucleotides) under uncultured bacterium. Its description in RNAcentral is "partial 16S ribosomal RNA". It matches the Rfam family "Bacterial small subunit ribosomal RNA", at positions 793 to 1055 of the family's 1533-position model. The record is from RNAcentral.
GUCCACACUGUAAACGAUGAUCACUCGUUGUUUGCGAUAUACCGCAAGUGACCAAGAGAAAUCGAUAAGUGAUCCACCUGGGGAGUACGUUCGCAAGAAUGAAACUCAAAGGAAUUGACGGGGGCCCGCACAAGCGGAGGAACAUGUGGUUUAAUUCGAUGAUACGCGAGGAACCUUACCUGGGUUUAAAUGGGGAGUGACAGGCUUGGAAACAGGCCCUUCUUCGGACACUCUUCAAGGUGCUGCAUGGUUGUCGU